UUGGGCCCAACCUCCCAUCCGUGUCUAUUGUACCCUGUUGCUUCGGCGGGCCCGCCGCUUGUCGGCCGCCGGGGGGGCGCCUCUGCCCCCCGGGCCCGUGCCCGCCGGAGACCCCAACACGAACACUGUCUGAAAGCGUGCAGUCUGAGUUGAUUGAAUGCAAUCAGUUAAAACUUUCAACAAUGGAUCUCUUGGUUCCGGCAUCGAUGAAGAACGCAGCGAAAUGCGAUAACUAAUGUGAAUUGCAGAAUUCAGUGAAUCAUCGAGUCUUUGAACGCACAUUGCGCCCCCUGGUAUUCCGGGGGGCAUGCCUGUCCGAGCGUCAUUGCUGCCCUCAAGCCCGGCUUGUGUGUUGGGUCGCCGUCCCCCUCUCCGGGGGGACGGGCCCGAAAGGCAGCGGCGGCACCGCGUCCGAUCCUCGAGCGUAUGGGGCUUUGUCACAUGCUCUGUAGGAUUGGCCGGCGCCUGCCGACGUUUUCCAACCAUUCUU
This 490-nucleotide ribosomal RNA is filed under the name Aspergillus niger. Its description in RNAcentral is "eukaryotic LSU rRNA". The stretch from base 172 to 325 matches the Rfam family "5.8S ribosomal RNA". The record is from RNAcentral. Lineage: Eukaryota; Fungi; Ascomycota; Eurotiomycetes; Eurotiales; Aspergillaceae.